Molecule: ribosomal RNA, 462 nt
Filed under: uncultured Planctomycetota bacterium
Lineage: Bacteria; Pseudomonadati; Planctomycetota
Description: bacterial SSU rRNA
Rfam family: Bacterial small subunit ribosomal RNA
Source: RNAcentral
CCUACGGGAGGCUGCAGUCGAGGAUCUUCGGCAAUGAGCGAAAGCUUGACCGAGCGACGCCGCGUGCGGGAUGAAGGCCUUCGGGUUGUAAACCGCUUUCGGAGGGGAGGAAAUCUAGGGGGGAUCACCCCUUUAGUUGACCUAUCCUAGGAAGAAGGACGGGCUAAGUUCGUGCCAGCAGCCGCGGUAAUACGAACCGUCCAAACGUUAUUCGGAAUCACUGGGCUUAAAGGGUGCGUAGGCGGCCCGGUAAGUUGGGUGUGAAAUCCCUCGGCUCAACCGAGGAAUUGCGCCCAAAACUGUCGGGCUUGAGGAAGAUAGAGGUGAGUGGAACUUAGGGUGGAGCGGUGAAAUGCGUUGAUAUCCUAAGGAACACCGGUGGCGAAAGCGACUCACUGGGUCUUUUCUGACGCUGAGGCACGAAAGCUAGGGUAGCGAAGAGGAUUAGAUACCCCUGUAGUC